Molecule: ribosomal RNA, 206 nt
Filed under: uncultured bacterium
Lineage: Bacteria
Description: partial 16S ribosomal RNA
Rfam family: Bacterial small subunit ribosomal RNA
Source: RNAcentral
UGCGUAGGCGGCCUGACAAGUCAGAAGUGAAAGGCUACGGCUCAACCGUGGUAAGCUUUUGAAGCUGUCAGGCUUGAGUGCAGGAGAGGAGAGCGGAAUUCCUGGUGUAGCGGUGAAAUGCGUAGAUAUCAGGAAGAACACCAGUAGCGAAGGCGGCUCUCUGGACUGAAACUGACACUGAGGCACGAAAGCGUGGGGAGCGAACA